This 450-nucleotide ribosomal RNA is filed under the name Streptococcus mitis. Its description in RNAcentral is "bacterial SSU rRNA". It matches the Rfam family "Bacterial small subunit ribosomal RNA", at positions 28 to 465 of the family's 1533-position model. Lineage: Bacteria; Bacillati; Bacillota; Bacilli; Lactobacillales; Streptococcaceae. The record is from RNAcentral.
GACGAACGCUGGCGGCGUGCCUAAUACAUGCAAGUAGAACGCUGAAGGAGGAGCUUGCUUCUCUGGAUGAGUUGCGAACGGGUGAGUAACGCGUAGGUAACCUGCCUGGUAGCGGGGGAUAACUAUUGGAAACGAUAGCUAAUACCGCAUAAGAGUAGAUGUUGCAUGACAUAUGCUUAAAAGGUGCAAUUGCAUCACUACCAGAUGGACCUGCGUUGUAUUAGCUAGUUGGUGAGGUAACGGCUCACCAAGGCAACGAUACAUAGCCGACCUGAGAGGGUGAUCGGCCACACUGGGACUGAGACACGGCCCAGACUCCUACGGGAGGCAGCAGUAGGGAAUCUUCGGCAAUGGACGGAAGUCUGACCGAGCAACGCCGCGUGAGUGAAGAAGGUUUUCGGAUCGUAAAGCUCUGUUGUAAGAGAAGAACGAGUGUGAGAGUGGAAAGUC